Molecule: long non-coding RNA, 626 nt
Organism: Balaenoptera acutorostrata (minke whale)
Lineage: Eukaryota; Metazoa; Chordata; Mammalia; Artiodactyla; Balaenopteridae
Exons: 3
Source: RefSeq, a predicted model, not a curated record
ACGGGCUGGAAAACAGUGAGAGCUGAAGCAGCCACUUGGAACCCAGAGACAGAUGCCUGACAUUGACUGUGGUACAGCUGCCCGCCAGCCCUGCACCUCUCCUCUCCAGACCGCAUUCUUUCCUGAGGCCCAGGAGUAGCUGAGUUGCAGUGUGUGCCAUGCCGCGAGGGAGCUUCCCCUGCUGAAGCUGCUUUGUUCCACUGGACAAUGCAGCCUUUUCUGCUUGACUGUCUCUCUGGGCACCUACACAGCGACACGGUGCAGGGGAGAGGGGGUUUUAGGGAUGUUUUUGAAGAGGAUUGUUCUCAACAAGCAAUUCCAUCACAUCUGGAAAUAGAGGCCACUGAAUAUAUUUCUUAAAUUCCAAAUAUAUGAGAUUUUCUAAUUAACUUUUUGUGUUUUUGAUUUCUAAUUUAAUUGCUAGUAGUGAGAGAACAUACUCUGUGUAGUUUGAACCCUUUGAAAUUUUCUGGGACUUGUCUCAAGGACCAGUACAUGAUUGAUUGUGGUUACAUUUAUGUGUGUCUUUGAAGAACAUCUUCUCUAGUUUUGGGUGGUAUUCUUUGUACUUGCUUUAAACUGAGUUUGCUAAUUGUGCUGUUCAAACCUUCUACAUGCUUACUGGU